This 1375-nucleotide long non-coding RNA is filed under the name Homo sapiens (human). RNAcentral's name for it is "non-protein coding lnc-ZNF716-12:1". Lineage: Eukaryota; Metazoa; Chordata; Mammalia; Primates; Hominidae. The record is from RNAcentral.
AAUGCUAAAAAUUAUUAUUAUUCCAAUAAUUACACUGCUACCAAUAAAAUGACUCUCUAAAAACUCUAUAAUCUGAAUCAAUAUGACUAUUCACAGCCUAAUCAUCAGCUUCAUUGCCCUGUUAUUUUUUAAUCAAUUUAAUGACAAUCUAUUCAACUUCUCAUUAACUUUCUCUUCUGAUCUGCUGACAUCACCCCUUCUAAUCUUAACAGCCUGACUACUACCUCUUAGAAUUAUAGCAAGCCAGUACCACCUCUCCAAUGAGUCACCCCCAUGGAAAAAGCUCUAUUAUUUCCAUAUUGGUUUCCCUACAAUUUUCUUUAAUUAUGGAAUUGACAGCCACAGAACUAAUUAUAUUUUAUAUUCUCUUUGAAGCUACACUUAUCCCUACCUUAAUUAUGAUCACCCCCUGAGGUAACCAACCAGAACGCCUCAAUGCAAGCUCGUAUUUCUUAUCUUAUACACUAGUGGGAUCUCUUCCCCCUGCUUACUAUACUUAUUUAUAUACUCAAAAUACCUCGGUUCACUGAACACGAUAAUAAUAAUAUUUAACACCCAAGAACUAUUAAUUUCCUGAUCCAAUAACCUUGUAUGAUUAACAUGUAUUAUGGGUUUUAUAGUAAAAAUACCCCUACACGGACUUCACCUAUGACUUCCUAAAGCCCAUGUACAAGCCCCUAUUGCAGGCUCAAUAGUACUUGCAGCAGUUCUCCUAAAACCAGGCAGCUAUGGCAUAAUACGGGUUACCCUUAUCCUCAGCCCCCUGACAGAAUAUACACCUUACCCCUUCCUCAUGUUAUCCUUAUGAGGGAUAGUUAUGAUAAGCUCUAUUUGUCUACGACAAACUGAUCUAGAAUCACUUAUUGCAUAUUACUCUGUAAGUCAUACAGCACUUGUUAUUAAGGCUAUCCUCAUUCAAACUCCCUGAAGCUUUACCGGUGCAAUUACCCUCAUAAUUGCCCAUGGACUUACUUCAACCUUACUAUUCUGCCUAGCAAAUUCAAACUAUGAGUGAAUCCAUAGCCGAAUCAUAUUACUCUUUUAAGGUCUUCAAACACUACUCCCACUAACAGCCUUUUGAUGACUUAUAGCAAACCUUACUAACCUUGCCUUACCCCCCACCACUAAUCUAAUAGGAGAACUCUUUGUAAUGGUGGCUUCAUUCUCCUGAUCAAACAUCAUCAUUAUGCUUAUAGGACUAAUAUAUUAAUCACAGCCCUUUAUUCCCUAUACAUGCUUAUCACAACACAAGGAACACUUACAUAUUACAUUAACAGUAUUAAACCUUCCUCCACACAAGAAAAGAUGCUAAUACUUACACACCUUGCACCUAUUCUCCUAUUAUCCCUAAACCCUAAGAUUAUUAUAGGUUUUA